RNAcentral lists this ribosomal RNA (253 nucleotides) under uncultured bacterium. RNAcentral describes it as "partial 16S ribosomal RNA". It matches the Rfam family "Bacterial small subunit ribosomal RNA", at positions 524 to 776 of the family's 1533-position model. The record is from RNAcentral.
UACGUAGGUGGCAAGCGUUGUUCGGAAUUAUUGGGCGUAAAGAGCUCGUAGGCGGUCUGUCGCGUCGGCUGUGAAAACCCGAGGCUCAACCUCGGGCCUGCAGUCGAUACGGGCAAACUAGAGUACUGCAGGGGAGACUGGAAUUCCUGGUGUAGCGGUGAAAUGCGCAGAUAUCAGGAGGAACACCGGUGGCGAAAGCGGCUCUCUGGCCCGGUUCUGACGCUGAGGCGCGAAAGCGUGGGGAGCAAACAGG